UAGGGAAUAUUAGAAAUGGACGAAAGUCUGAUCUAGCAACACCGCGUGUGCGAAGAAGGCCUUCGGGUUGUAAAGCACUUUUUGGAAGGAUUAGGAAGGAAUGUACUUCCAGAAUAAGUCUCGGCUAACUACGUGCCAGCAGCCGCGGUAACACGUAGGAGGCAAACGUUAUCCGGAUUUACUGGGCGUAAAGCGCGUGUAGGUGGUUCUGUAAGUAGGGCGUGAAAGCUCCUGGCUAAACGGGGAGAGGCCGUUCUAAACUGCAGAGCGAGAGUAUGGUAGAGGGAGGUGGAAUGCCGGGUGUAGCGGUGGAAUGCGCAGAUAUCCGGAGGAACACCAGUGGCGAAAGCGGCCUCCUGGACCAUUCCUGACACUCAGACGCGAAAGCUAGGGUAGCAAACG
Molecule: ribosomal RNA, 402 nt
Filed under: uncultured prokaryote
Description: bacterial SSU rRNA
Rfam family: Bacterial small subunit ribosomal RNA
Source: RNAcentral